This 244-nucleotide ribosomal RNA is filed under the name uncultured bacterium. RNAcentral describes it as "partial 16S ribosomal RNA". It matches the Rfam family "Bacterial small subunit ribosomal RNA", at positions 524 to 763 of the family's 1533-position model. The record is from RNAcentral.
UACGUAGGGUGCAAGCGUUAAUCGGAAUUACUGGGCGUAAAGCGUGCGCAGGCGGUUAUAUAAGACAGUCGUGAAAUCCCCGGGCGUCAACCUGGGAACGUGCGAUUGUGACUGUAUGGCUAGAGUGUGUCAGAGGGGGUAGGAAUUCCACGUGUAGCAGUGAAAUAGCGUAGAUAUGUGGAGGAAUACCGAUGGCGAAGGCAGCCCCUCGGGAGUAACACUGACGCUCAUGCACGAAAGACGU